Molecule: transfer RNA, 44 nt
Filed under: Stenocranius gregalis (narrow-headed vole)
Lineage: Eukaryota; Metazoa; Chordata; Mammalia; Rodentia; Cricetidae
Description: partial tRNA-Arg
Source: RNAcentral
UGGUAAUUAGUUUAAUUAAAAUUAAUGAUUUCGACUCAUUAGAU